Molecule: ribosomal RNA, 253 nt
Filed under: uncultured bacterium
Lineage: Bacteria
Description: partial 16S ribosomal RNA
Rfam family: Bacterial small subunit ribosomal RNA
Source: RNAcentral
UACAGAGGUCUCAAGCGUUGUUCGGAAUCACUGGGCGUAAAGGGUGCGUAGGCUGCACGGUAAGUCAGAUGUGAAAUCCCAGGGCUCAACCCUGGAAUUGCAUCCGAUACUGCCGUGCUUGAGGACUGGAGAGGAGUCUGGAAUUCAUGGUGGAGCAGUGAAAUGCGUAGAUAUCAUGAGGAACGCUAGUGGCGUAGGCGAGACUCUGGACAGUUCCUGACGCUGAGGCACGAAGGCCAGGGGAGCAAACGGG